CCUGGUGCCACUUCAUCACUCAAGCGCUGGAGUAUUUAGCGUCAUUUCUGUUUCCCUGUUCGAUGUGCUUUGACCUCUGUGGACAAAGUGAACCCAGAGAGGACGAUAAGUCUGACCAAACCAGCAUGUCUCAGAGGCUGAGGGAUAAUCCUGCAGUGUGCCACUUGAAUAGCUUUAGAGGGGGAGGGUGCUAGCUAGGAAGACAAGCAAAGAAGCGGAUAGGACGAGUGAGACAGACAAAGUGGAGAGAGGAAUGUGAGGUUGAAAUGAAAGUGUAAUUAGGACAUUAUAUACUGACAGGAUAGCUUGAGGUUGUUUCUGCAUAGGGACAUGUGCAUUACUGUUUAUAGAUGAAGGGCUCAGUUUCAUCACAAAUGCACUGCUGGCACAUUGAGCACUGCACUCCUGUGACUGAGCUCACAGCAACAUGAUGCAACUAAAUGCUGCAGGUACCUGAUGAACAUGCUUUUAAGAGUUAGAGAACCCCUGAUCCAGGUGAUAAGAAAUGUUCCUGACACAGUCAGAAGGUCCAGUGUUGUCAAGGCUUUUAAGUGAAUGGAAACCACAACAAACAUGUAAGCUUGUUACAAUAAGAAGAUUUCAAAGAGAUAUACUAACUUUACCAUGGCACACUACCAAGCUCACAGUGUCCUGACUGAUUCGACAACAGCAUUUCAAACGUCGCUGACCCAAUUUAGUGAUUUUCUCUCCAGUAACAUAAGCAAAUCAACUAAGGCUGCACUUAAAACUAAUGUAGCAUGCCAAAUAUUUUGAGAACUACUAAAAUCCCACAGCUGAUGUUUUGUGGUUGGUUUACGAUGCAUUGUGGUUGUCUGUCAGUGCAAGAGAAGGCAGCUGCCUUAUCAAACAAUCACAGAGUACAAGAGGACACACAAGGAGAGAGACAGAGGGAGGUCUUUCAUUGGGAUAUGAGCAAGGAGAGAGCGACAGAGAGGAACAGGGAGGAGGAGAGGCGAGUAGGGGAGAUGAAGAUUGAGGGGGGAGGCAGGGAGUGACAAGAGAGAGGUGAGGGAGAAGAGGAAGGAUGCAGCAAGCUCAGGACGUAGCGUGGAGCUGGUCCGAGAGCAAGAUUGUUGCUGAGUGGAAUAGAGAGAGCCAUAGGGCCAGAACGGCAGCUGAACACAUCAGGACAGAGAUGUGAUUCAUCUCACGGUGCAGCGCAGACUAAGCAGGCCGUUGGAUGUUGCCAGGAGACAGGGCCACUUUGUGCAGACUUCACACACGCCGUAACAGCAGAAGCCGUCAUUUAGCUGGCCAUGUGACCGAUGCUUUAGAUGGGAGAAAGAAGGCUGGAAUGCAGUGUCAGCUGUCCAUCCCACAUUUGACUAGCCGAGCAUCCAUGAGUAUGGACAUGCACCAACACACAAGAGGGAAACUUGUGAGUGCAUACUGAACCAAAAGACAGAGGGACAGAGUACUCUAGAGAACUCGUUCAAAGAAGAUGCAGUAACAGAGCUAAAUAAAGAGGCAGAGCAGUAGAAUAGAGAGAGGAGGAAAAACCGGUGAGAGUGGAGGUUGAGGGUGAUCUUGUUUUGUAUUUAUCAGUUGAACGUGUAGUGCCGUGAGCCCUCUUUACUGCUCGCUGGGGCAUAGAGUAGGAGAGUCAAAUCGGAACUGAAGUGUUGAUCCAAAUGGCAACAGUAUUUAGGAAAAGCCCUCAUCUUCUCUCUCUCCUCCAUCAGCUAACUCCUAGCCCAUCCAACAGAGGAAAGCCCCUGAAACUGCUGUAUGGGUGGAUAUUUUUUUAUUUGCUAAGAAACAUGAUGAAAAAACAAGUAGAAAACAAAUAGUCUGACACGAGCAAGGAAGAUAAAUGUGCUACCCAUGUAGUUUUCUAUCAUAAGGAAAUGCGCGAUGUCUACAGCCAUGCUAACUGUUCUGUGAAGGAGGAAUUGGGUUGUGCUUUGAGCUAAGUGCUAACACAGUUUAGCAUGUUAAACAACUGAGGGUGACGGGAAUGUUGUUGCAGGUAUUUACUCAUAAACCAAAGUAUUGGGCAAAUUGAAAUUUUGACCUGAUGGCAGUAAGACAAAAAACAAAGGGAAUGUCAUGACAAUUAAUCCUUAGGGGAACAUGAGUAUAUAUAUAUAUACACCGAAUUUUAUGGCAAUUCAUCUAAUAGUUGUCGACAAAAGAAAAAUGCUAACUUGUGUGUGCCGCUUGUGGAACUGUUGAGAUUACCAAAGUCAUUAGGAUGCAUCCUCUAAUCUGCCAAUCAAUAAAACAGAUGUUGAGAUAUUUUAUGGACUGACUAGAUGAAAAGUCAGGGGAUCACCAAAGUCAGUAGGACUAAUCCUGUUGGGACUAUCAAUGUCAACAUAUCCAAACUUCAUACAUGUAGUGGUGAAAGAAGCACACCGAUCCUUUACUUAAAUAAAAGUACCAAUACCACAAUGUAACUCAUACUCAAAAUACCCUACUACAGUAAAAGUACACAAGUAUUAGAAGAUAAAUUAAAUAUUAAAAGUACUGGUUCAGCAGGAAAUCUGCCUCUCUGACUGAUGUAUUAUAAUAAAUUACAUUAUUAAUACUUAUGCAUUAAUGUCUGAGCAGCAUUUUGCUGUUGCAGCAGUUUGAUGUGAGGGCCACCAGAUAAAUCUGAAGGGUGGUGAGGUGAUUAAUAGGGUAGAAAUGAAGACAAAACAAUCUCUAUUAUAUAAAUUAAUCUUUUUAGACUUUUCUCUAAAAUGAACAUGAAAUAUAUAGAGUUUUACCUCUUUGUAACUCAAACAUGGAAAGAUGUUUAGAGGGAAAGUGUCUCUUCUCUGACUUUUGAAACAUGACGAAGCUACAACUAGACACUGCCUUUUGCAAGAGGUUACAAGCUAAAAUACGUUGUUAGGCCAUUUAUGUAACUUUAAUCUGAAAAGUAGAAAUAAAGCUGUCAGAUAAAUGUAAUGGAGUUAAAAGUACAAUAAUAAUAAGUAUUUCAGUAAGUUUAGUUACAUUCCACCACUGCAUACAUGAAUUGAUGGGGCUCUGCUUGACCCUCAACUACAUGAUCCCACUGAGAUCAGGUGAGACCAGACUAGUAAGAUGUCAUUUUAAAUCUGUCCCCAAAAUCAAGCUCAUCAGAUAUUCUACAAAUGAAUGUCUUCAUAACAACAGAACAGCUACUGAUCAGUUCAGUAAUGUCUCUAUUUGAUUACAACUCCCAGAUAUUGUAUCGUAGCAAACAGUCCGUAGAUGCCUUUGCCUGUGCGGGCUAGCAGGCUGGGUCAUGAUUUCAAGCAAACAAGCGAAGGAUGACUCAAUUAUCUGAUCAUGAAAGGUGCUCUGGGUCGCCGCACAACAAUCAAGUUUCUGCAUCCUAGUUUGUUCCUUGUGGAGUUCCCUUGUGCCCAUUUUUAAUCAAUAUCUAUUUUGUGUAACUGUGAGUCAGCCAGAUGUGCUAUUGCUCAGCUCCCAGAACAACACACAAUAAUUUGUCAGCACUGGGACAUAACAAAAAAAAAAAGACACCAUUUAUAUUACACUUAAUUGAUUUCUCUAGGGACAGAUUCUCUUUCUCUUCCCCCACA
Molecule: long non-coding RNA, 3542 nt
Organism: Micropterus dolomieu (smallmouth bass)
Lineage: Eukaryota; Metazoa; Chordata; Actinopteri; Centrarchiformes; Centrarchidae
Exons: 2
Source: RefSeq, a predicted model, not a curated record